AUUGUAAGCUUCUUCAGGGAUCUGAGACAUACUAAAAGAAAUAUCAAACAUAAAUCAGUAACUGAAAAGCUUGGAUUACUGGCUGGCUAUCCAGUGCCAAGUGGCGAAGCAAUUUACUAGGUAUGGUGAUAGGUGAGGCUCUGCUAGAUGCCAAGUGGCUUGAGAGGCUCUAUGCGUUGGCGCGAUGGGAUUUGUUAGCCACCGAACGUUGUGGAAGGCCCUCUCUAUGCAACUGUGAGAGGCGGCUAUGAUUUGGCCCAAGAGGCAAAUAUACCUCAAGCGUGGAGGAAGGGUGUUGAUCUCGCGGGUCCACUGUGACCGAGGCAAAGAAGCAAGAAAUGUCUACCACUAGUAGUCGACCAGAUCCCGAAUAAGCCAGUAACAACUAACUGAAAGCAUGGGGGGAGGGGAAUGUUGUGGGGAAAUAGGCAAAACGUAC
Pelobates cultripes (western spadefoot toad) is the source of this 439-nucleotide non-coding RNA. The record is from the annotation of a GenBank genome assembly. Lineage: Eukaryota; Metazoa; Chordata; Amphibia; Anura; Pelobatidae.